UACGGAAGGCAGCAGUGGGGAAUAUUGCACAAUGGGCGAAAGCCUGAUGCAGCUAUGCCGCGUGUAUGAAGAAGGCCUUAGGGUUGUAAAGUACUUUCAUCGGGGAGGAAAAAACAAAACUAAUAAUUUUAUUUCUUGACGUUACCCGAAAAAGAAGCACCGGCUAACUCCGUGCCAGCAGCCGCGGUAAUACGGAGGGUGCUAGCGUUAAUCAGAAUUACUGGGCGUAAAGAGCACGUAGGUGGUUUUUUUAAGUCAGAUGUGAAAUCCCUGGGCUUAACCUAGGAACUGCAUUUUGAAACUGAAAUACUAGAGUAUCGUAGAGGGAGGUAGAAUUCUAGGUGUAGCGGUGAAAUGCGUAGAUAUCUGGAGGAAUACCUGUGGCGAAAGCGGCCUCCUAAACGAAUACUGACACUGAGGUGCGAAAGCGUGGGGAGCAAACAGGGAUUAGAUACCCGU
Molecule: ribosomal RNA, 459 nt
Filed under: uncultured bacterium
Lineage: Bacteria
Description: bacterial SSU rRNA
Rfam family: Bacterial small subunit ribosomal RNA
Source: RNAcentral